RNAcentral lists this ribosomal RNA (455 nucleotides) under uncultured bacterium. Its description in RNAcentral is "bacterial SSU rRNA". It matches the Rfam family "Bacterial small subunit ribosomal RNA", at positions 340 to 786 of the family's 1533-position model. The record is from RNAcentral.
UACGGGAGGCAGCAGUGGGGAAUAUUGCACAAUGGGCGCAAGCCUGAUGCAGCCAUGCCGCGUGUAUGAAAAAGGCCUUCGGGUUGUAAAGUACUUUCAGUCGUGAGGAAGGUGUUAAGGUUAAUAACCUUAGCAAUUGACGUUAGCGACAGAAGAAGCACCGGCUAACUCCGUGCCAGCAGCCGCGGUAAUACGGAGGGUGCGAGCGUUAAUCGGAAUUACUGGGCGUAAAGGGCACGCAGGCGGUUAAUUAAGUUGGAUGUGAAAUCCCCGGGCUUAACCUGGGAAUGGCAUUCAAGCUGGUUAGCUAGAGUCUUGUAGAGGGGGUAGAAUUCCAUGUGUAGCGGUGAAAUGCGUAGAGAUGUGGAGGAAUACCGGUGGGCGAAGGCGGCCCCUGGGACAAAGACUGACGCUCAUGUGCGAAAGCGUGGGGAGCAAACGAGGGAUUAGAUACC